ACCUGUCUGGCUCAGUCGGUAGAGCAUUGGACUCUUGAUCUUGGGGUUGUGAGUUUGAGCCCCACGUUGGGUG
Molecule: transfer RNA, 73 nt
Filed under: Ailuropoda melanoleuca (giant panda)
Lineage: Eukaryota; Metazoa; Chordata; Mammalia; Carnivora; Ursidae
Rfam family: tRNA
About the family: Transfer RNA (tRNA) molecules are approximately 80 nucleotides in length. Their secondary structure includes four short double-helical elements and three loops (D, anti-codon, and T loops).
Source: Rfam by way of RNAcentral